Molecule: ribosomal RNA, 452 nt
Filed under: Chaetoceros neogracilis
Lineage: Eukaryota; Bacillariophyta; Thalassiosirophyceae; Chaetocerotales; Chaetocerotaceae
Description: partial Bacterial small subunit ribosomal RNA
Rfam family: Bacterial small subunit ribosomal RNA
Source: RNAcentral
UGUUGGGUUAAGUCCCGCAACGAGCGCAACCCCUGUGUUUAGUUGCCAGCAUGUAAUGGUGGGGACUCUAAACAGACUGCCUGUGCAAACAGAGAGGAAGGAGGGGACGACGUCAAGUCAUCAUGGCCCUUACGUCCGGGGCUACACACGUGCUACAAUGGGCAGUACAGAGGGCAGCUACUUUGCAAGAAGAUGCUAAUCUCAAAAAGCUGUUCACAGUUCGGAUAGAGGUCUGCAACUCGACCUCUUGAAGUUGGAUUCGCUAGUAAUCGCAGAUCAGCAAUGCUGCGGUGAAUACGUUCCCGGGCCUUGUACACACCGCCCGUCAAGCCAUGGAAGCUGGGAGUGCCUGAAGUCGGUAACCGUAAGGAGCUGCCUAGGGUAAAACUAGUAACUGGGGCUAAGUCGUAACAAGGUAGCCGUACCGGAAGGUGCGGCUGGAACAUCUCCUU